GAGUGCCUGCCCUGUGGAAGCCAGACCUAGGCAGUAUUUCAGCCCCUUUGAUUCACACACCACCUUUGCAUCAUUGGAAAUGCCUUUGACCAGCAAUGGAAAAUAAAGGGAACAUACUGCAGUUUCAAUUGUUGUGGGACUCAGGUUUUCUCUCAGCACCGCAUACACACUUGGAGACAUGGGAAGAAGGUCUGAUGGAGAAUAUGUCUCCGUUGAAUCACUUCGGCUUAAAGAGAUAACAAGAGGGCAUGAAGUCAGGUGGCUGCAAGUCUGUGAGUGACAACUGUAGGAUAUUCUACAUGAUGGUGCCCAAAGAUUUAGUGCUAUAGAUGAAGAUUUUUAUGGAUUGUAUACACUUUCAUUAAAGAAACAGAAUGGUAAACGUA
This is a long non-coding RNA of Nomascus leucogenys (northern white-cheeked gibbon), 386 nucleotides long. RefSeq lists it as uncharacterized. The record is from RefSeq and is a predicted model, not a curated record. Lineage: Eukaryota; Metazoa; Chordata; Mammalia; Primates; Hylobatidae. The transcript is spliced from 3 exons.